This 1650-nucleotide long non-coding RNA is filed under the name Zonotrichia albicollis (white-throated sparrow). Its description in RNAcentral is "lncRNA (ENSZALG00000001206.1)". Lineage: Eukaryota; Metazoa; Chordata; Aves; Passeriformes; Passerellidae. The record is from RNAcentral.
AAGUGUCUUGAAAGGUGUGACCAGGUGCAGGUGAAGAUCUGUUGGUAUCCCAGUGGGGUUUGUACCCAUUUUUGAGUUUGUGUGUGGCACCAAAUUCUAAUUAAAUUAUCCAAGAAAUUUUCUGCAGUACUUUAAAGAUACUCUUUGUUAUUUGUGGACUUAAUUCUACAACACCUAAAGGUAAAAUUCUGAUAACCUGACAGAAUUUUAAAUAAUUUUUACCACUGACAUGAGCAUUUAACAGCAGUGUCUUGAAAGGUGUGACCAGGUGCAGGUGAAGAUCUGUUGGUGUCAUAUUGGGGUUUCUACUCAUUUUUGAGUAUAUGUAGGACCAAAUUCUAAUUAAAUUACCCAAGUGCAGGGAGAUGAGGGAGCAGAAAAUGUGAAAGAUGCUUUUUGAGUGUCCAGGGAGUAACUCUGUGUUCUCUCCACCAUCCCACAGGGCAGCCCAUCAACCCCCAGUGCCGGAUCUACCCCGAGGAAAUGAUCCAGACUGGCAUUUCUGCCAUCGAUGGCAUGAACAGCAUUGCCAGGGGCCAGAAAAUCCCCAUUUUCUCAGCUGCUGGGCUGCCCCACAACGAGAUCGCGGCUCAGAUCUGUCGCCAGGCCGGCUUGGUGAAGAAAUCCAAAGAUGUGAUGGAUUACAGUGAGGAGAACUUUGCCAUCGUCUUUGCUGCCAUGGGGGUGAGCCCACAGAGCUGGGGGCAGCUGGGGCUGCAGGAAUCAGAGACAUUCUGAGCGUGGCUGAGGCCUGAGCAGCUUUUGUGUGUGCGGAAUUAAAGAAUGGGUGAAAACCCCCAAAGGGGCUGGAUCUGCCUCUGCACAGGCUGCCCAGAGGAGCUGUGGCUGCCCCAGGGCUGGGUGAGGCUUGGAGCACCCUGGGGUGCUGGGAGGUGUCCCUGCCCAUGGCACUGCAGGGUGGCUGAUCACAAAAGGGACAGGGCUGCUGGGAACGUGCCUUGAGCUGUUUGAUUUUCCAGCAUCACUCCCAUUCCAUGGCUAUGACAAUGGGAAGAUGCCAGCAGCUCACAUCCCAGCCAGCAGGCCAAAAAACUAAAUGUUAAAACUCACUUUAUAAGUUUUUUGACCAAUCACACAAAGCAAAAGUACAUUGACAGUAGUUCUAUACAAUCACUAUAAGCACAGGUACCUUUGGUUAAACAAUGCUUGCUUAUUUCAAAUACAACACCUGCUUGUGAGCCUCAACACACAGAGCUCCAUUAUUAAUCUUUAACCUUCCUAAUAUCUCUCUAGAUAAACUUUUCUGUACCUUAGAGAGUUAUUCUAGACAAGCAUUAAUACACAGCCCAUUGUUCUAUUUGUCCUUGCUUUUCUACAGUUUAAUAAUUUUUCUGCUGACCAAUCUCAUGGCUGCUGCUUGGCUCUAAUCACAGUUCUGCUGCCUCUGAGGCCUUUGCAGCUUUCCCAGAACCCUCUGAUUGUGUGGAUUCCCACAGAGGAGUUUUUGGGGUCCCUUCCCACCCAAACCAUUCCAUGAUCCCAACAAAGCCUGGCUGGUCAGGAUAAAACACCUCAGACUUGAUCUCCAGCCUGGAAUUGCUCACUCUGGCAGUGUAGAGGAACCUGAUGGCUGGAGAUCUUUGCUGUGGGUUAUUAAUGAGCUCAUCAACCCUUAAUUGGCUGGGGAAU